AAAAAAAAAAAAGAAAGAAAAAUUAGGCAUGAUUUUAAUUCCUUAGUCCUUCUUCUCAAAGGAAUUGGAUUCUCCUUGCCUGGGGACCCAUAAUUUCUCUCUUUUGUGUGAAACUCAUUUAUAUGAAUCAAGAGGCUUAUUUGAUUGAGAUUUUUUCUAAAUUGGGUUAAUAUUAUGAGUUUAAGUCCAUUGAAGUGAGAUUGAUUGAUGAAACAUGAGAAAUUUUCAAAGAGAGAAG
Molecule: unclassified non-coding RNA, 238 nt
Filed under: Hevea brasiliensis (rubber tree)
Lineage: Eukaryota; Viridiplantae; Streptophyta; Magnoliopsida; Malpighiales; Euphorbiaceae
Source: RNAcentral